GCCGGAUCAGCUCCGACGCCGCGACGGCGUCUUGCUGCGGCUGCUGCUUCUGCUGGUGGUGGUGGAGCAGCUGCUGCGGGUGGUCAGGCGACUGAGGCGCCGCCGCCGGGGCAGCGGGCCUCGGCGGCGACGGCGGCUUCGCGGCGGCGUUCUUGGCGUCGUGCGGCUGCUGCUGCGACGACGGCGCCGGCGGGGGCUGGCCGUGGUUGUGCUCGCCCUCGUACGUGGCCACGAGGAUGGUAUUGUCGUCGGCGCUCCGCUGCACCUUCUUCUUGACGGGGCACGCCGGCGCGAAGGAGCACCGGAAGUAGGCCCGCGGGCAGGGGUUGUCCUUGGUCACCUUCUGCCCGUACUUGCGCCACUGGUAGCCGUCCUUCACCACCAGGCUCAGGUCCGACGGGUCCGCGUGCACGUACAGCUUCGACACCUUGGGCUUGCACUCCUCCCGGAUGCGCUUGCACGGCUCGCCGGAGGUGCACUCCAUCUGGUCUGCCAGGCCCGGCUGCUGCUGGCCGCCGUGCUGCAGGCCGUGCUGCGGCGGGUGCUGCGCCUGCGCGCCCGGCGCCGCCGCGGUGUCGAGGCUCUCGCUCGUCUUGCGCUUCCUGGACGGGGAGACCGACCCGCCCUCCGACGUGGACGACGGGUUGUUGGUCACGCCGGCGGCGACCAUCCCCGUGUACUGGCUCCGCAGCGCCUCGUACUUGGCCGCCACCGCCGUGAGCGCCUCG
This 728-nucleotide long non-coding RNA is filed under the name Setaria italica (foxtail millet). RNAcentral describes it as "long non-coding RNA (SITA_LNC000139)". The record is from RNAcentral. Lineage: Eukaryota; Viridiplantae; Streptophyta; Magnoliopsida; Poales; Poaceae.